Saccostrea cuccullata (small rock oyster) is the source of this 487-nucleotide long non-coding RNA. RefSeq lists it as uncharacterized. The transcript has 3 exons. NCBI's taxonomy places the organism in Eukaryota, Metazoa, Mollusca, Bivalvia, Ostreida, Ostreidae. The record is from RefSeq and is a predicted model, not a curated record.
CUGGAAUAUUCCACGGAAUUACUAGGUAGACUAAAAUUAUCAGCCAAUGAAAAAUCACAGGAUAGAGUAUUUAAAACGAACUCAUCCAUUUUAUUCUCCGUUAACGCCACUGAAAAUCAACUGUAGACUUCUACUUCAUAAAGGUUUAAGGUUUCUCCAAAAUGUCGGGACGAGGUCAAAGCCAAUCCAACAAUGACAACAGGUCGAACCAAUGCAAUCCAAACAAUCCGGAAUAUAAAGGUCACACAAGCAGCUAUUCCGGAACCGGAACUAAGCCGGAUCUGGAUAACCAUGGCAACCAAUUAAAUCCAAACAACGAAAGAUACCAGCCGAAACAGAAGUAGUAUUGGCGGGAAAAUAUGACGGGGAGAAAUAAACUGUCAUCAGUUGAUUCAUUGAAAUUCUCUGUAGAACACUUCAAACGCUUAAAUAUUGUUCUCUUUUUGUUCUCUUUUUAAAUCAUUUCCAAUAAAACAAAUUUCACAAA